CAGUCGCCACGGUAAUACGGAGGGUGUAAGCGUUAAUCGGAAUUACUGGGCGUAAAGCGCACGCAGGCGGUCUGACAAGUCAGAUGUGAAAUCCCCGGGCUUAACCUGGGAACUGCAUUUGAAACUGUCAGGCUGGAGUCUUGUAGAGGGGGGUGGAAUUCCAGGUGUAGCGGUGAAAUGCGUAGAGAUCUGGAGGAAUACCGGUGGCGAAGGCGGCCCCCUGGACAAAGACUGACGCUCAGGUGCGAAAGCGUGGGGAGCAAACAGGAUUAGAUACCCGUGUAGUCCCUGUCUCUUAUAC
Molecule: ribosomal RNA, 301 nt
Filed under: uncultured bacterium
Lineage: Bacteria
Description: partial 16S ribosomal RNA
Rfam family: Bacterial small subunit ribosomal RNA
Source: RNAcentral